CAAAAGGAGUUGUAAACUGAGAAUAAACACAUUGCCUUCUUAGUGUGAUUUUUUUUUUUUUGUCUUUUUUUUUUUGUCUUUUUAGGGCCCCCCCCACGGCAUACAGAGGUUCCCAGGCUAGGGGUCCAAUUAGAGCUGCAGCUACCAACCUACACCAAAGCUUACAGCAAGGCCAGAUCCCUAACCCACUGAGCGAGUCCAGGGAUCCAACCCGAAACCUCAUGGUUCCUAGUCGGAUUCAUUUCCGCUGAGCCACAACAGGAAUUCCAACUGUUAUUUUUUUUUAAUUCAGACUUUGUUUAUUCUUCCUUUUCCCCAACUGAAAUCUAGGUUUUCACAGGCAAUCAGCUGGCCUUUUGAUUUGAGCAGAAUUUGCAACUGCUUUUAAAGUCAAAGAUCAAUGCUUAUCAAAAAUCUAGUCACCCUGGAAAUCUUUUUCUUUUCCUGAGCUGUAGAGGCUGCUUUUCUGGUAAUGUAGGCUUACCUCGUGCUGCAUUUGGAGGUGAUCUGCAUCUGGAAAGAGCCCUAUAAUCUUCUUUCCCUCCCAGCCCCCAGGCAGAUUGGUUGGCAAUUACCAUCAGUCCUUUGUGGCUGCUCCAGGGACCAAGUCUGGGUCACACAGCUCUGAAUUCACCCAUCUAUCCAGAGAGGGGGAGAGGGGAGUGCAGGCCAGCAGGGGGGCCUCCAGACUUCACUGGGAUGCACCAGACUCCUCUGCCUUCCCUCUGUGGCUGUCUCAUUGUGUUUCAGUCUUUUCACUCUUUUUUCCUUUUCUCCUCUGAUAGGGAUUUUUGGGAGAGGAUCUUAAAUAGUAAGGGUUUGCAUUCCCACUCCUUUAAAUCAUCUCUAGAUGACGUAUAAUACCUAAUACAAGGUACAUGCUAUGUAAACAGUUAUAAAGAAUUGUAAAUGCUGUGUAAAUAGUUGGCAGUAUGCAGCAAAUUCAAGUUUUGCUUUUUGGAACUUUAUGGAAUCUUUUUUUUUUUUUUUUUAAUAUUUUCUAUCCUCUGUUGGUUGAAUCCCCAGAUGUGGAAGGCCCACGGUAAUUCCGAAAAAAGAAAGCAGCUUUCACAGACAAUGCAUACAUUCCUCCGGCCAAUAGGUGGCGCUGCACUUGAUUACUCAGUCCCCCUAGAAAUUUAAACGGAAAAAUCUGUAUCCCUAGAUAUCAACACCUGUGAUUUCCACUUCAUUUUUCUUCCUUUUCUUUUAUCAUGCCGUUUCUUUAUGUUCUAUGUAGCAAGAAAAAGGAUGCAAAGGGAAUUCCAAGCCUAUGUAAAAGCUUGUGCUGAUGAAUUAAAUUAAAGCACCUCAUUUGUUCAUUCAUUCAUUUAAUCAUUCGUUCAAUGAUAUCAACAAGGGACACUUUUUGAGUACUCUGUGCUAAACUCUAUGCUAAUUAACUCAUUAAAUCUAUAUCAUUACUCUGAGAUAUCUGGUAAUAUUAUUUCAUUAUUUCAUAAGUAAGAAAUUUUCAAGAAAUAUUUAUUUUGCUAGGCCCUAAUGCUAAGUGGGGAGGAAUAGAAAAAAAAAUUAACAUAUUGUCCUAGCAUCAAGGGCAUAGAAUCAAGGAGGAAGAGAUACAUGUAUAAACAAAAACAUGUAAUAACAUAUUAUGGGAGCCGCUGUAAGCAGCUGUUAGUAUCUACAUGGGCACAAAGAAGGGUGUGGUCCCUUCUCCUUAGUGUUAUUCAGCUGGCUAUAAUUCUUGAGGCUCUCUAAAGAAUUGGGAAAAAAUGGACCUAGGGCCAGCAUCUCAAUACACCCUUUUUUUACCAAACCUAUUGUCCACCCCCGCCUUUUCCCAAUGACCUCUGCUGGCAGGUUCCCCCUGCACUCUCAUGCCUGUGCUAUCCCCCAGGUCCUUGGGUAUGCUCACCCUAGAAAGAAAAGCCAGAUACUUCCCAUGAUAACCAUGGUGUGAUAUAAAAAGUUCACUCUCUUAACAGCAGGUCCCUAAAAACCCUCUUAAGAAAGCCAGCUUGGGAAGAUACCCUGAUCAACUUCUUGAGGGCAGAGUGGACAGGUUACAAGGUAAGAAGCCAAAGGUAAGGAUUAAUGAAGAGAGAGUAGCAGUUCCUGUGUGGUUCAGGAGAUUAAGGACCUGACUUAUUUGUGAGGAUGAGGGUUCGAUCCCUGGCCUUCCUCAGUUGGUUAAGGAUCUGGCAUUGCGGCAAGCUGCAUCAUAGGUUGCAGAUGUGGCUUAUGUCCAGUGUUGCUGUGGCUGUGGCGUAGGCUGGCAGCUGCAGCUCCAAUUCAACCCCUAGCCUGGGAACUUCCAUAUGCCGUGGGUGCAGGCAUUAAAAAAAAAAAAGUUGAGAGAGUAAAAGCAAUUUAUUGUGCUCCUGAGAAGAAAGAAAGAGAGGAAAUGAGGCAGAGAGAAACCAGAACUACCCAGAGGGUGGACCCCUUGCUGUAAAAUUCGCAGAAACAGAUGGUGGAUGCUGGUGGCCAAAGGAAACGUCUAAGAAUGAGGACGCCUAGUGGCCAGUUGUAGUUGUGGUCCCUUCCUUCACAUUCCCAUUGCCUUCACCCCUCAACACACACACACACACACACACACAGAAGAGAGCUCUACCUUUUGAAUGAAAACAAAAGGCCAAGCCUUGUGUGGGACUGGAUGCCUUGAGGCACACAGGGAGGGUUUAGGUACAGGGACAGAUUCAAAUUGUAUGGAAUCUGAAGUUCUUACAGUUCAGUGAGAUUCUCUUUAAAAAUACUGUAAAAAUAUCAAACUUUUGCAAAUUUUACAAAAACAUAUGACAAUGUGGACAUUUUGCUCAGGCCUCCCACAAAGGAGCAGCCAUGGAAUUUAAGCAUCAGUGGCUUUCUUAUAAAUCUUCCACAGGGCAGAUGUGCUCACAGGAGAACCAGACCCCACUGGAAAAUCCUCAGAAAUCUUGGAGAGAGCUGUGGGUGCCACAGGCCACACAAUCAGGGGGUUUGAGUCAAGCUGAUCUUGAACUCAGAGGCUGGCUGGAUAUGACUGACAGCUGGGUUAUAAUCACUUUCCUGCUCUCAAGAGCAAAGUACAAUCUCAGAGGAGGAGAGACCAUGGUGAAGGCAGCUGCGGCCAGAUCCUUGAAGGGCAUGUCUGAGAACCUGUGCUUCUGGAGGGGGUGGGAGGGAGGACGACCACUGGCCUGCACAGUGAGAUGAGCCAGCUCUUUAAAAGCUCUUCAAGUCUUAUUAGAAAAUUGCAGUGGAGAGACGCCCUGCCCUCUUUUCCAUCCCAGGGCGCAUGGUAAGCUCUGCCCUCCACUCUGAUUACCCUCAUUUUGGAGCUCAGAAAGAAGCUAAUCAGAGACUUCACAUCGCACAAGCUCCUUCAAGUGCAAUUUAGAAUUCAGCAUGAUGAAGGGAGGCAUCAGGUGUGUGAUUAUAAGGAAACCUUCGAACAUAAUUAAGGAGUGAAGGUGCAGGGGUGGGAGGUAGACAGGGCUGGUCAGAAGCAAAGGGGCACAGCUCACCACCUCUCUCCAAGGCUCCCCACCCUGCACACCAGCCAACGAGGAAACACAGCUUCACCGCAUUCCUCCACAUCCUGCAGCAUCCCCAGUAAGCCUCACAACCCUCUGAGUGGGGUGUAUUAGUUUUCUCUUGCUGCUGUAACAAAUUACCAUAAAUGUAAUAUCUUAAAAUAACACACAUUUAUUUCCUUAAGGUCCCAUUGGUCAGAAGCCUGAAAUAGGUCUCACUGGGCUUAAAUCAAGGUGAAGCUGACUCAGGGCUGCAUUCUGUGUUGGAGGCUCUGGGGAGAAAUCUUUCUCUUGCCAUUUCUGGCUUCUAGAGGCUGUCUACACCUUGCUCACGGUCCCCUCCCAUCUUCAAAGUCAGCAAUGCCCAUCAGGUCUUUUUCACAUCUCGUAACUGUGACAUUGACUCUCCUGCCUCCCUUUUCCACAUGUAAGGACACUUGUGAUUACACCCAGAUAAUGCAGAAUAGUCUCUUUAUUUUAAAGUCCAGCUGAUUAUCAACCUUACUUCCCCUUCCCCAUAUAAUGUAACAUAUUUACAUAUUCCAGGGAUUAGGGAAUUAGGACAUGGACAUCUUUGAUGUCCUUAUUCUGCCUAUCACAAUACACAACAUUAUCUCCUGUCUUCCAGGUGAGCAGAAUGAGGCACAGAGGUCCUGUGGCUGGCCCAAGGUCAACACAGCUGGUAAGCAGCAGAGUUGGGAUUCACCCUGGCCAUCUGAUGCCAGACCCUGUAUUUUUAAGCUCUAAACUGUACUCCUUCCAUAUAAUCAUUGUUAUUUUAUUCAAAACUUUAUUGUAUUUUAUUUUGUUCAACACUUUUGUUGAUGGAAAUGGAAGGAUUUGGGGUGAGGCAAAUCUUGUGGUGGCAGGAAUUGCUGGUGGUAUGGAUGUGAGGAGUGGGAGAGGCAUACUGUGUACCCUGGAAUAGUGCCAAAUGGGGGCAUGGUCUUCCUGUAUUAGGUCACAGGAGACCUGGGUUCAAAUCUCAGCUCCAUCGCUUAAAUCUGUGUGCUUUCCAGCCAGUUGCUGGAUCACUGAGUUUCCUCCUCUGUGAAAUGAUAAUAACAGAACCCACCUUGUGGGCUUAUUGUAUUAACUAAAACAGCAUGUACAAGGAGUUCCCAUCCUGGCUCAGUGGUUAAUGAAUCCGACUAGGAACGAUGAGGUUGUGGGUUCAAUCCCUGGCUUUGUUCAGUGGGUUAAGGAUCCAGUGUUGCCAUGAGCUGUGGUGUAGGUCACAGACGUGGCUCAGAUCCUGAGUUGCUGUGCCUGUGGUGUAGGCCAGUGGCUACAGCUCUGAUUCGACCCCUCGCCUGGGAACCUCCAUAUGCUGAGAGUGCGGCCCUAAAAAGAAAAAA
RNAcentral lists this long non-coding RNA (4837 nucleotides) under Sus scrofa (pig). Its description in RNAcentral is "lncRNA (ENSSSCG00015044431.1)". The record is from RNAcentral. Lineage: Eukaryota; Metazoa; Chordata; Mammalia; Artiodactyla; Suidae.